This is a long non-coding RNA of Aedes albopictus (Asian tiger mosquito), 497 nucleotides long. RefSeq lists it as uncharacterized. Lineage: Eukaryota; Metazoa; Arthropoda; Insecta; Diptera; Culicidae. The transcript has 3 exons. The record is from RefSeq and is a predicted model, not a curated record.
UUAAACGUUUUCUUACUUUCGACUUUGAUCCAAAGUGAGUAAACAAACUUGGUAAAAAUCAAAUCGCUUUUGAGUAGUUUUGGGCGAGUGUGUUCAGUAUGAUUGAACGAUGAAAAAAGAAAAAGACAAAAAAAAUAUUUGCCACUAGCUGUGAUGAUUUUUCGCUCGCUUAAUUUUCUAUUAAUUUCAGUGUUAAUUCAUAAUUAUUUUAGUGUGAAAUAGCGCAUCAGGACGGCUUACACCGAGCCUCACAAACAGGAAGAAAUCCGGUGCUGUGGAACGAUGCGCUCGCCGGUGAAUCGGUUGUACAAUUCGGAUCGAUCGCCGCUGAUAGAUGAGGUAAAUUUGGAAAGCCUUGACAUGUCGGAGAAUCUAGCGGAGUUUGGAGAAUCUGGCUCGAGAAGAAUGGAUUGUGGCUGUGAAUUGUUCAACUAACUUUGGUAGUCAGUUGCGGCAGUGCGCCCCUUCGGAGUGUAGCCGCAUCCGGAAGUGGAGCA